RNAcentral lists this ribosomal RNA (506 nucleotides) under uncultured bacterium. RNAcentral's name for it is "partial 16S ribosomal RNA". It matches the Rfam family "Bacterial small subunit ribosomal RNA", at positions 29 to 523 of the family's 1533-position model. The record is from RNAcentral.
AGUGAACGCUGGCGGUAGGCCUAACACAUGCAAGUCGAACGGCAGCACAGAGGAGCUUGCUCCUUGGGUGGCGAGUGGCGGACGGGUGAGGAAUACAUCGGAAUCUACUCUGUCGUGGGGGAUAACGUAGGGAAACUUACGCUAAUACCGCAUACGACCUACGGGUGAAAGCAGGGGAUCUUCGGACCUUGCGCGAUUGAAUGAGCCGAUGUCGGAUUAGCUAGUUGGCGGGGUAAAGGCCCACCAAGGCGACGAUCCGUAGCUGGUCUGAGGGGGUGGUCAGCCACACUGGAACUGAGACACGGUCCAGACGCCUACGGGAGGCAGCAGUGGGGAAUAUUGGACAAUGGGCGCAAGCCUGAUCCAGCCAUACCGCGUGGGUGAAGAAGGCCUUCGGGUUGUAAAGCCCUUUUGUUGGGAAAGAAAUCCAGCUGGUUAAUACCCGGUUGGGAUGACGGUACCCAAAGAAUAAGCACCGGCUAACUUCGUGCCAGCCGCCGCCGUAA